RNAcentral lists this ribosomal RNA (553 nucleotides) under Babesia sp. NJ3. RNAcentral describes it as "bacterial SSU rRNA". It matches the Rfam family "Eukaryotic small subunit ribosomal RNA", at positions 494 to 1082 of the family's 1831-position model. Lineage: Eukaryota; Apicomplexa; Aconoidasida; Piroplasmida; Babesiidae. The record is from RNAcentral.
CCGCCAAUGUCUUGACUUGGAUGAUGGUGCCUUAAACCCUCACCAGAGUACCAAUUGGAGGGCAAGUCUGGUGCCAGCAGCCGCGGUAAUUCCAGCUCCAAUAGCGUAUAUUAAACUUGUUGCAGUUAAAAAGCUCGUAGUUGAAUUUCAGCGUUUCCUUUUCUUUGCUUUGUCGCUUUGAUUUGGUUUCGCUUUUGUUUUUACUUUGAGAAAAUUAGAGUGUUUCAAGCAGACUUUUGUCUUGAAUACUUCAGCAUGGAAUAAUAGAGUAGGACCGUAGUCCUAUUUUGUUGGUUUUGUGGACUACUGUAAUGGUUAAUAGGAACGGUUGGGGGCAUUCGUAUUUGACUGUCAGAGGUGAAAUUCUUAGAUUUGUCAAAGACGAACUACUGCGAAAGCAUUUGCCAAGGACGUUUUCAUUAAUCAAGAACGAAAGUUAGGGGAAUCGAAGAAAGUUCCCUUAUUUUGGUUUGAGGCUUCGGGGUUCCCCCAACGAGACUUUGCCCUGUAUUGUUAUUUCUUGUCACUACCUCCCGUCACGGGGGGGGGGGUG